RNAcentral lists this ribosomal RNA (450 nucleotides) under uncultured Glomeromycotina. RNAcentral describes it as "SSU rRNA". It matches the Rfam family "Eukaryotic small subunit ribosomal RNA", at positions 569 to 1025 of the family's 1831-position model. Lineage: Eukaryota; Fungi; Glomeromycota. The record is from RNAcentral.
AGCAGCCGCGGUAAUUCCAGCUCCAAUAGCGUAUAUUAAAGUUGUUGCAGUUAAAAAGCUCGUAGUUGAAUUUCGGGAUCAAAGGAUCGGUCAUGCCUUGGUAUGUACUGGUUUUAUUGGUUCUCACCUUCUAAAGAACCAUAAUGUCAUUCAUUUGAUGUUAUGGGGAAUUAGGACUGUUACCUUGAAAAAAUUAGAGUGUUUAAAGCAGGCUUACGCUUGAAUACAUUAGCAUGGAAUAAUGAAAUAGGACAUCAGAUUCUAUUUUGUUGGUUUCUAGGAUCGAUGUAAUGAUUAAUAGGGAUAGUUGGGGGCAUUAGUAUUCAAUUGUCAGAGGUGAAAUUCUUGGAUUUAUUGAAGACUAACUACUGCGAAAGCAUUUGCCAAGGAUGUUUUCAUUAAUCAAGAACGAAGUUAGGGGAUCGAAGACGAUCAGAUACCGUCGUAGUC